AGAGUUUGAUCAUGGCUCAGGAUGAACGCUAGCUACAGGCUUAACACAUGCAAGUCGAGGGGCAUCAUGGGGUUUGCUUGCAAACUCUGAUGGCGACCGGCGCACGGGUGAGUAACGCGUAUCCAACCUUCCCUAUAGUAGAGGAUAGCCCGGCGAAAGUCGGAUUAAUACUCUAUGUUUUCCGUUGCAGACAUCUAAGAUGGAACAAAGGCUUGCCGCUAUAGGAUGGGGAUGCGUCUGAUUAGGUAGUCGGCGGGGUAACGGCCCACCGAGCCAUCGAUCAGUAGGGGUUCUGAGAGGAAGGUCCCCCACAUUGGAACUGAGACACGGUCCAAACUCCUACGGGAGGCAGCAGUGAGGAAUAUUGGUCAAUGGGCGAGAGCCUGAACCAGCCAAGUAGCGUGCAGGAUGACGGCCCUAUGGGUUGUAAACUGCUUUUAUGCGGGGAUAAAGUUCACUACGUGUAGUGUUUUGCAGGUACCGCAUGAAUAAGGACCGGCUAAUUCCGUGCCAGCAGCCGCGGUAAUACGGAAGGUCCGGGCGUUAUCCGGAUUUAUUGGGUUUAAAGGGAGCGCAGGCCGGAGGUCAAGCGUGACGUGAAAUGUAGCCGCUCAACGGCUGAACUGCGUCGCGAACUGGCUUUCUUGAGUGAGUUCGAUGUGGGCGGAAUUCGUGGUGUAGCGGUGAAAUGCUUAGAUAUCACGAAGAACUCCGAUUGCGAAGGCAGCCCACAAGGCCUUUACUGACGCUAAAGCUCGAAGGUGCGGGUAUCGAACAGGAUUAGAUACCCUGGUAGUCCGCACGGUAAACGAUGGAUGCCCGCUGUUUGCGAUAUACUGUGAGCGGCCAAGAGAAAUCGUUAAGCAUCCCACCUGGGGAGUACGCCGGCAACGGUGAAACUCAAAGGAAUUGACGGGGGCCCGCACAAGCGGAGGAACAUGUGGUUUAAUUCGAUGAUACGCGAGGAACCUU
RNAcentral lists this ribosomal RNA (972 nucleotides) under uncultured rumen bacterium. RNAcentral's name for it is "bacterial SSU rRNA". It matches the Rfam family "Bacterial small subunit ribosomal RNA", at positions 8 to 972 of the family's 1533-position model. The record is from RNAcentral.